CUUCUUUGCCCAUUUUGGCACUAGCACAUUUUUGCUUUGUUUCUCUUUGUUGGAGCAAUCAUGUGUAGUGCCAAUAUGGGACGAGACAGA
Molecule: microRNA precursor, 90 nt
Filed under: Seriola lalandi dorsalis
Lineage: Eukaryota; Metazoa; Chordata; Actinopteri; Carangiformes; Carangidae
Description: microRNA 96 (ENSSLDG00000024719.1)
Rfam family: mir-96 microRNA precursor family (bases 6-83)
Source: RNAcentral